Molecule: long non-coding RNA, 217 nt
Filed under: Elaeis guineensis (African oil palm)
Lineage: Eukaryota; Viridiplantae; Streptophyta; Magnoliopsida; Arecales; Arecaceae
Description: long non-coding RNA (EGUI_LNC050123)
Source: RNAcentral
AUAUCAGAAAAGAACUAUGGCAGCACGUAGGUUGGUCGACCUAGUUUUAUGCUGGAUCGACUAAGUUUUGGACUAGAUCGGCUUAGUCUCAGGAUGAGUCGACUAAGCUGCGGCAACAGUUAAGUGAUGGAAGUCAACUGAGGUGUUUUAAUUUGGAAAUUUAAAAAGGAUUUUUAAAGGAAUUACUCAGUAGUCAUUUUGUAUAAAUAAAGGGGUA